This 1535-nucleotide ribosomal RNA is filed under the name Arenallianassa arenosa. Its description in RNAcentral is "partial 28S large subunit ribosomal RNA". It matches the Rfam family "Eukaryotic large subunit ribosomal RNA", at positions 82 to 1127 of the family's 3401-position model. Lineage: Eukaryota; Metazoa; Arthropoda; Malacostraca; Decapoda; Callianassidae. The record is from RNAcentral.
AGUAAGGGCGACUGAAACGGGAACAGCCCAGCGCAUAAUCUCGGUCCCUUCGGGAUCAGAGAGGUGUUGCGUUCCGGAGGGUCCAGCCCACUUGCCCGCACCACCUAAGUCACUUUGGAAAGAGGCCAUCAAUCCGUGGAGGGUGAUAGGCCCGUGUGGUGGAAACCUUGCCAAGGAUCUGCUGGGCAGUGGAAAGGGCCUCUCCGUAGAGUCGGGUUGCUUGAUAAUGCAGCCCAAAGCAGGUGGUAAGCUCCAUCUAAGGCUAAAUAUGACCACGAGACCGAUAGCGAACAAGUACCGUGAGGGAAAGUUGAAAAGAACUUUGAAGAGAGAGUUCAAGAGGUCGUGAAACCGCUAAGAGCCAAACGGGUGGACCCUCGAAGUUCGAACCCUGGGAUUCAAGGACGUCGGUUGCCGCUGGUCGGUGUGCCGUGACCGUCGGCGAAGUGCUUAAGUGCACCUAGCCGGCGGCCGGUGCACGUCCCACGCAGGCGCCGGCGGCUGUUUUUCCUCUGGGGGUGUAAGUAGGUCGCCACGACCCGUUGCGGGGACGUCGAAGGCCCGGGUGGAUUGGUACCCCAUCGCACGUAUGUCGCCGGCCCCGGCCGGCGGUUGAGCGCAAGCCCGUGCGGUGGGCGAAACCCCCGGUGUUCCUGACUGCCCUGCGACGGUCGGGAAAGAGAUAGCUCGAGGCCCGACCUUGGGAGCACCACGCUCGGCGGCGUCAGUACGUGUACAACGGAACAUCACGUCGGGCGGAGGACCCAUUGCGGGCUCGGCACGAAAUCUCGUGGCGUGCAACGAGUCUAAGGGUGCACUAAACCUGGAGGCGCAAUGAAAGUGAAAACUCUGCGAGGUCAGACAGGCCUCUUGCAGACCGGGCCGAUCCCCGCGGUCCCGCCCGGUACGCCAUCACGGUGGUUAAGUGCCCCCCAGCGGCAGGGUGAGUCCCUUUCCCCUGUUGCCCGCGGUGGUGGGCGGCGGCGUGUCCGAAGCCGGGGCGUGGUUCUGCCGCGUCCGGUGGUAAAGACCGUCGUCCGUCGCACGCCCGGGGGGUUCCGGGUAGGGGCCCUCCCGUCCCGACAGGGGCGGGUUGCCCACGGGAGGGGCGCAGGCCCAGGACUUGCCAAGACGGCCCGGUGUGGCGGGGCGCCCCAAUCAACGGGCGUCCCUCAGCCGGGCACCAGUCGGCAAGUACCUUGAGCAGACAUGUUAGGACCCGAAAGAUGGUGAACUAUGCCUGGCCAGGAUGAAGCCAGAGGAAACUCUGGUGGAGGUCUGUAGCGAUUCUGACGUGCAAAUCGAUCGUCGGAGCUGGGUAUAGGGGCGAAAGACUAAUCGAACCAUCUAGUAGCUGGUUCCCCCCGAAGUUUCCCUCAGGAUAGCUGGAACUCGAGAUAUGAAUUUCAUCCGGUAAAGCGAAUGAUUAGAGGUCUUGGGGACGAAACGUCCUCAACCUAUUCUCAAACUUUAAAUGGGUGAGAUGCCGGGCAUGCUUGACUGAAGCACCGGCGAACAAUCAAUGAGUACCUAGU